GCCGGCGUGGCGGAAUUGGCAGACGCGCCGGACUCAAAAUCCGGUUCCUUUAAAGAGUGUCGGUUCGAACCCGACCGCCGGUA
Molecule: transfer RNA, 83 nt
Filed under: Chthoniobacterales bacterium
Lineage: Bacteria; Pseudomonadati; Verrucomicrobiota; Spartobacteria; Chthoniobacterales
Description: tRNA-Leu
Rfam family: tRNA
About the family: Transfer RNA (tRNA) molecules are approximately 80 nucleotides in length. Their secondary structure includes four short double-helical elements and three loops (D, anti-codon, and T loops).
Source: RNAcentral